ACCUUCACACCUGCACCAGAUUACUGCAAUCACCACCUGAAUGUAAGCCCUGCUGUGAGGCUUCUCCAGUGCCAGAUUGUUCCCGUAUCUGAUGUGUGCCUCCACGAGCCCCCCAGUGCUGCCGCCCCAUCUCUGCCACGCUGCCUGGAUUCACUCACCAGCCUUCUCCUCAAGCCCUCACGUCACCAGCCUUCACCUCUCCUCAGACCCUAGAUCCCUUCCCUCCACCCUUUGUUCCCGUCAAUAAAUUCACUUAGCUGCUUCA
Notolabrus celidotus (New Zealand spotty) is the source of this 265-nucleotide long non-coding RNA. RefSeq lists it as uncharacterized. The transcript is spliced from 2 exons. The record is from RefSeq and is a predicted model, not a curated record. NCBI's taxonomy places the organism in Eukaryota, Metazoa, Chordata, Actinopteri, Labriformes, Labridae.